RNAcentral lists this ribosomal RNA (436 nucleotides) under Babesia microti. RNAcentral describes it as "SSU rRNA". It matches the Rfam family "Eukaryotic small subunit ribosomal RNA", at positions 439 to 901 of the family's 1831-position model. Lineage: Eukaryota; Apicomplexa; Aconoidasida; Piroplasmida; Babesiidae. The record is from RNAcentral.
AAUUACCCAAUCCUGACACAGGGAGGUAGUGACAAGAAAUAACAAUACAGGGCUUAAAGUCUUGUAAUUGGAAUGAUGGGAAUCUAAACCCUUCCCAGAGUAUCAAUUGGAGGGCAAGUCUGGUGCCAGCAGCCGCGGUAAUUCCAGCUCCAAUAGCGUAUAUUAAAGUUGUUGCAGUUAAGAAGCUCGUAGUUGAAUUUCUGCCUUGUCAUUAAUCUCGCUUCCGAGCGUUUUUUUAUUGACUUGGCAUCUUCUGGAUUUGGUGCCUUCGGGUAUUAUUUUCCAGGAUUUACUUUGAGAAAACUAGAGUGUUUCAAACAGGCAUUCGCCUUGAAUACUACAGCAUGGAAUAACGAAGUAGGACUUUGGUUCUAUUUUGUUGGUUAUUGAGCCAGAGUAAUGGUUAAUAGGAGCAGUUGGGGGCAUUCGUAUUUAA